This 497-nucleotide ribosomal RNA is filed under the name uncultured bacterium. RNAcentral's name for it is "partial 16S ribosomal RNA". It matches the Rfam family "Bacterial small subunit ribosomal RNA", at positions 28 to 507 of the family's 1533-position model. The record is from RNAcentral.
GAUGAACGCUGGCGGCGUGCCUAAUACAUGCAAGUCGAGCGAACAGACGAGGAGCUUGCUCCUCUGACGUUAGCGGCGGACGGGUAAGUAACACGUGGAUAACCUACCUAUAAGACUGGGAUAACUUCGGGAAACCGGAGCUAAUACCGGAUAAUAUAUUGAACCGCAUGGUUCAAUAGUGAAAGACGGUUUUGCUGUCACUUAUAGAUGGAUCCGCGCCGCAUUAGCUAGUUGGUAAGGUAACGGCUUACCAAGGCAACGAUGCGUAGCCGACCUGAGAGGGUGAUCGGCCACACUGGAACUGAAACACGGUCCAGACUCCUACGGGAGGCAGCAGUAGGGAAUCUUCCGCAAUGGGCGAAAGCCUGACGGAGCAACGCCGCGUGAGUGAUGAAGGUCUUCGGAUCGUAAAACUCUGUUAUUAGGGAAGAACAAAUGUGUAAGUAACUAUGCACGUCUUGACGGUACCUAAUCAGAAAGCCACGGCUAACUACGUG